UUUAAGAAAAAUGUGUCAUCUACUAGCAUAACCUAGAUACUUUAAGCUGGCAGAGACAGUAGAAAUUAUUUGGGUGAGCAAUAAUGGUUUCAUGAGAGGGUCAUCUAAGAGAUGGGUACUCAAAGGUUCAGAUUAUCUGAUCCUCUAGGACUCUUUAGGCAUGAGUGGGCCAGACUGAUUGAUUAAACAAGCCGCAAACACUCAUUUGGUUCUGUUAAAUGUUAAUUCUAAAGUAGUGAGUAAAAAUCAUUGGUAAAAAAUAAAUGGCCUUAGCUGGUCCUAUCCAAAACCCCCUCACACAAAUCAAUGGAGCUUACAAGUCCUUCAUGUGAAACAACCUAAGCUACUCCAACUUUCUUUCCUGGUAGUAGAAUUUGGACCCCUCAGAAUUUCUUAUUUUAUUUUAUUUUAUUUUUUCCUUAUCUUCUUAUUUCUGUAUAGAAAUGACUCAAAGCAGUUCUAAAAGUGGUCAAAGAAGACAGAGGAACAGUUGUGUGGAGGAUAUAGAACAUAUAUAAGGAUCUAACAUGGCAGGAAGUAUAAAAUGCAGAAAUUACAUAGAAAACCACUGGUAUUCUGGAAGGUUCUUUAAGAUUUUGGGAUGUCCUACGUUUGACAAGGUUCCUGAACUCACCGCAGUCUAUGGUCGUAAAUGGUAUGGACAGGUGUCAGUUUGUUUGAUUAGCCAAUUAGUCAAGUCGUUCAGGGUAACCUACUGGGAUUUUUUAGUAGUCUAUAGUGUUUUAUGUUACUGUAAUUUAUCCUACUGGAUGCCUUUGGACGUGGACGGAGCCUGGGGACGUGUUUCUUCAGCUGCUGCUGCUGGGACACUUCUGAAGAAGGGUUUGCCACAAUAUAUACCGUGCAGUUAAGACACUGUGAACUGGAUUCAAAUGAGCUCCAAAAUUCGCACCAAAGGUUUGGUACCACAGACUGAUUAACUAAAGCCCUCUACAUCACCAUGGCAACCAGACCAAUCAGCUUCACUGAAUAUGCCAGAUAAGGCCGACUUGAAAGACUAAGAAAAUCCCUCCUCGCCGCCUCCCUCCGACUCUCAUCCAUCUCUUGGCCUCGCAUCCUCCUUCCUCCCUUCAUGCAAUUUAAUUUUUCUUUUUUUUUUGUCUCAUCCUUCCCUGCUUCACUCUCCCCCCCUCCAAGCUCAUUCUCUCUCAUCCUAUUUCCCUCCUUUUCGUUGUCUGGGUUACUUCCAUCCCCCUGCGUUUUUUUCCCCCCCUUCCCUUUCAAUUGCACUUAACAUCUUUCCUUCUUCCCAUCUUCCUUCCUUCCGCCCCUCCCAGAACCCCCACCUCUUUCAUUCCUUCACUGGAUUAAAAAGACACACCCAGUCAUCGUGCAAAAACAUCUCUCUCAAUGGCAAAAGCCCAUGGUGAGAUAUGGGGACUGGCAUGCUGCUGACAUUCACCAUCUGUCCCCGAGACGUAGGGACCAGCAGAGAGAGAAAGAGGGGGGAGAAGGAGAGAAAGGAAUAAAGGAGAGCGGUGCAUGCCUACGAGUCCGCCAAUACGGGCUUGAUGAUUUUUAACUCUCAAUUUGCAUUCAGGCUUCAGAGACAAGUAUGUGAAGGAAAGCAUUAAAUUUGGUGCUGGAAAAGGAGUUGAAUAUGUAAAAAAUACAACUUGCAUGGUGGUAAAUAUUAAUUUUUUUAUUUUUAUUUUUUUUGAAGCUUCCUCACCUCAGACAUUUCCUAAAGGUUAAAUCCUUAAAGGACAAAGCAACCUCAUAUGCACAACAAGCACAGUAGAUCCUGUGCGCAUAAAUCACCAAUGGCAACUGUUUCCCACUACAGGGAGGUUAAAGUUUGUUUGUUCGUUCAUUUUCUGUAACCGUUUGUCCUCUAGAGGAGCGAGGAUGCUGGAGCCUACCCACCUGUCACCGGAACGAGAGGCGGGGUACACCCUGGACAGGUUACAAGUCUACUGCAGGGCCGACGCAGAAAGACGGACAACCAUUCACUUACACUCACACCUACCG
Mugil cephalus (flathead mullet) is the source of this 1992-nucleotide long non-coding RNA. RefSeq lists it as uncharacterized. Lineage: Eukaryota; Metazoa; Chordata; Actinopteri; Mugiliformes; Mugilidae. The record is from RefSeq and is a predicted model, not a curated record. The transcript is spliced from 2 exons.